UAAGGAAUAUUGGUCAAUGGACGCAAGUCUGAACCAGCCAUGCCGCGUGAAGGAUGAAGGUCCUCUGGAUUGUAAACUUCUUUUAUCUGGGACGAAAACGGGAUUUUUAUCUCAAUUGACGGUACCAGAGGAAUAAGCACCGGCUAACUCCGUGCCAGCAGCCGCGGUAAUACGGAGGGUGCGAGCGUUAUCCGGCUUUACUGGGUUUAAAGGGUGCGUAGGUGGGCUUAUAAGUCAGUGGUGAAAUCUCCGAGCUUAACUUGGAAACUGCCGUUGAUACUAUAGCUCUUGAAUUAUCUGGAGGUAAGCGGAAUAUGUCAUGUAGCGGUGAAAUGCUUAGAUAUGACAUAGAACACCAAUUGCGAAGGCAGCUUACUACAUAUAAAUUGACGCUGAGGCACGAAAGCGUGGGGAUCAAACA
RNAcentral lists this ribosomal RNA (421 nucleotides) under uncultured bacterium. RNAcentral describes it as "bacterial SSU rRNA". It matches the Rfam family "Bacterial small subunit ribosomal RNA", at positions 355 to 774 of the family's 1533-position model. The record is from RNAcentral.